UACUGCUGGCUCUGCCUCCCGGG
RNAcentral lists this unclassified non-coding RNA (23 nucleotides) under Mus musculus (house mouse). RNAcentral describes it as "oocyte_clustered_small_RNA8410". Lineage: Eukaryota; Metazoa; Chordata; Mammalia; Rodentia; Muridae. The record is from RNAcentral.